This 64-nucleotide transfer RNA is filed under the name Rhingia louguanensis. RNAcentral's name for it is "tRNA-Cys". Lineage: Eukaryota; Metazoa; Arthropoda; Insecta; Diptera; Syrphidae. The record is from RNAcentral.
GGUUUUAUAGUCAAGAAUGACAUUAGAUUGCAAUUCUAAAGGAAUAAAUAAGUUAUUAAAACUU